GCCGGGAUAGCUCAGUUGGUAGAGCAGAGGACUGAAAAUCCUCGAGU
RNAcentral lists this transfer RNA (47 nucleotides) under Distichium capillaceum. RNAcentral's name for it is "partial tRNA-Phe". It matches the Rfam family "tRNA", at positions 1 to 46 of the family's 71-position model. From Rfam's summary of the family: Transfer RNA (tRNA) molecules are approximately 80 nucleotides in length. Their secondary structure includes four short double-helical elements and three loops (D, anti-codon, and T loops). Further hydrogen bonds mediate the characteristic L-shaped molecular structure. tRNAs have two regions of fundamental functional importance: the anti-codon, which is responsible for specific mRNA codon recognition, and the 3' end, to which the tRNAs corresponding amino acid is attached (by aminoacyl-tRNA synthetases). tRNAs cope with the degeneracy of the genetic code in two manners: having more than one tRNA (with a specific anti-codon) for a particular amino acid; and 'wobble' base-pairing, i.e. permitting non-standard base-pairing at the 3rd anti-codon position. The record is from RNAcentral. Lineage: Eukaryota; Viridiplantae; Streptophyta; Bryopsida; Pseudoditrichales; Ditrichaceae.